RNAcentral lists this ribosomal RNA (255 nucleotides) under uncultured bacterium. RNAcentral describes it as "partial 16S ribosomal RNA". It matches the Rfam family "Bacterial small subunit ribosomal RNA", at positions 524 to 776 of the family's 1533-position model. The record is from RNAcentral.
UACGAAGGGGGGCUAGCGUUGCUCGGAUUGACUGGGCGUAAAGGGCGCGUAGGCGGUUUGCAUAGUCAGACGUGAAAUUCCUGGGCUUAACCUGGGGGCUGCGUUUGAUACAUGCAGGCUUGAGUUCGGAAGAGGGUCGUGGAAUUCCCAGUGUAGAGGUGAAAUUCGUAGAUAUUGGGAAGAACACCGGUGGCGAAGGCGGCGACCUGGUCCGAUACUGACGCUGAGGCGCGAAAGCGUGGGGGAGCAAACAGG